RNAcentral lists this ribosomal RNA (426 nucleotides) under uncultured Lachnospiraceae bacterium. Its description in RNAcentral is "partial 16S ribosomal RNA". It matches the Rfam family "Bacterial small subunit ribosomal RNA", at positions 341 to 784 of the family's 1533-position model. The record is from RNAcentral. Lineage: Bacteria; Bacillati; Bacillota; Clostridia; Lachnospirales; Lachnospiraceae.
ACGGGAGGCAGCAGUGUGGGAUAUUGCACAAUGGGGGAAACCCUGAUGCAGCGACGCCGCGUGAGUGAAGAAGUAUUUCGGUAUGUAAAGCUCUAUCAGCAGGAAAGAUAAUGACGGUACCUGACUAAGAAGCACCGGCUAAAUACGUGCCAGCAGCCGCGGUAAUACGUAUGGUGCAAGCGUUAUCCGGAUUUACUGGGUGUAAAGGGAGCGCAGACGGCAUGGCAAGCCAGAUGUGAAAGGUGGGGGCUCAACCCCCAAGCUGCAUUUGGAACUGUCAAGCUAGAGUAUCGGAGAGGUAAGUGGAAUUCCUAGUGUAGCGGUGAAAUGCGUAGAUAUUCGGAGGAACACCAGUGGCGAAGGCGGCUUACUGGGCUCUAACUGACGCUGAGGCACGAAAGUGUGGGUAGCAAACAGGAUUAGAUA